Brachypodium distachyon (stiff brome) is the source of this 3127-nucleotide long non-coding RNA. RefSeq lists it as uncharacterized. NCBI's taxonomy places the organism in Eukaryota, Viridiplantae, Streptophyta, Magnoliopsida, Poales, Poaceae. The transcript has 2 exons. The record is from RefSeq and is a predicted model, not a curated record.
AUGCUAUUAUGAGGUCAUACUCAUGUUGCAUAGCCGGUCCCAAGCCCGGAGAAAAGGAGGAGGGACCAACCAUACCAACCUGAGGGGUAGUGUUGUGACCAUUUUAUAUGUUCUUAUGCUCCUUUAUUUUUAUGUUUAGACGUAAUAGGCCUAGGAAGAAGGGCAGAAAUCUAGAAUGUAACUGAUUAGUAAAAGAUAAUCCCUCCAGGAGCACACUAUUUUCCUAAGCUGGAUUGCCUAGCAAUUGGGGGCCGCCUGCCUCUUCUGGACCUCAUUACCUCUCUGUUUUGUACGCUUUCUAUCUACUUUGGAUGAAUGAAAUGAUGAGAUCCUGCUUUCUUGAAAAGAAGCGUGAGGAGACCAAUUUGUUUCAUUAAAAUGUUGGCUGAGUAGAGUAUGUGUUUAUUGGUAACCGGGGACAAUGAAUGUGGGGGCAGUGCGAUAGCUGUGUUUGUUCUACUCAUAUCAUCCAUUGGAACAAGGAAUCAUUUCUCAGUUUCUGCUGCAGAAGCUGUAUAAAUAAUUCAGACAUGAAGUCUUUGCAAUUGGUUGAUUCGAUCAUGGAUUCGCAAUAGUCAGACAAAAUUGUUGUUUCAUAUGACAUGGCGAGAUUCUUCUCUUUGUACUAGAGGGAGCAUGCUUUUGUGUUGGAUAUGUACCUUUUUGAGAUCAUUGCAGGGUCCAUGUGGUACAGUGGUAGCAAGAUCGCUUUCUGGUAUUUUUACUCAAGGUGGUUUUACAAUGUGGAAACUUGUGUGGUCACGACGUUGCAAAAUGAUGAGUGAGCUACUACCUCAAUUGGAACCAUGCCCAAGCUUGCUUCUGUGCCAUUUGUGAUACGCCAUUUCUUGGCAACUUUAUUUCUUGUCUUGCGUAAAUUUUGUGAUGUAGAGGGAGAAGUGGAUGCCAUCUGUAGAAGAACAUGCCAGUAAGUAAAAGUUAUUGACAUGUGAAGGAAAAAUGCUUAUCCUACUCAGUUAUGUUAGGCUUGGUUGAAACUUCUCAAGAAAUGAAAGUUGACACAUCAUUUGAACAUUUCAGGUUGGCAGUAGAGAUGCUAAUAGUUUUUCUUUACUUCCUAAUGUUCGCUCCUAUUUUAGCAUGCUUCUGAAAUUUCUGUUUUCUUUAGAAAACUAGGGGGCUUGGGCCUCAUAGCACAUAUUGGUGACCACUGCGAGUUAGUCCUUCAAUUUCCUUAAGGAACCAACAGCAGUUGGGAUAAUGCCCAGUUCAAGAUUUUUGAACCAAUGGAAUACAAAUCCGAUGUCUGUGAAACAAUCCUUUUGUGGGAACAGGUCAGCACAUGGCCUCUGAAAUAACAUGUUUAUCAGCGUAUAUAGAUGUGUUAAUGCUAAUAUUAUGUCAGUACCACAAUAUGAAGAUCGUGUUGACAAGGGAGUACUUAGAUGUGGGACCUGCUGGAUGGCUGGAUUCAUGCUGUGCUGGAAAAUAAACAAACUGCUUAUUAUGCAGCUAAAAGGAUAGGACAGCUGUAAGUUCGAGAUUGAUUUAAUUGUUCUUAUAAACUGAGAUCAAUCUUGCUGUUAAAUGUGUUUUUCAGAAUCUGCAGUGACGCUGACAAAUGUUACGAUCUUACUCUGUUUAAAGAGCUUAGUGUUUUGCUGCCAGCUAUACCCCCUUUCCAUCCAAACCAAUUUGUGACAUGUGCUGUUGUUGGCAACUCAGGAGAUGACUUAAAACAGAGUUCUGAUGAGAGAUUGAUGCGUACAAUGCCGUGUUCCGAGGAAAUGAGGCACCUGUUAAUAAGGUAAUCUAUUUUGUAUGUUGUUAUGGACUUGUGGAGUCCAUAAUAUAUUCCUUUACAUUGUCAAUUUACUGUUCUUAUUGCCUGCCUUGCUUUUCUUAUUACCUUUUUUUGUUUAAGUGUCAUAUAGUGUUAUACUUCUAUGAUUCUAUCCAACCAACUGAAAAGUACAUUGUAUUCUAGAACUAAUUUACAUAACACUUUCCGUAAUGACUCGCUUUUUUUUUCAUCUGCUGAAAUAUGCAAAAUAAGUUGCGUUGAAAAGGGAUUUUUGACUGGUUGUCAGGAGCACUGCUCGAAGUAUGGCAGCAAUACUGAAGGGCCCCUGUAAUGCUGUAAUCCUAAUUUAUUCCAAUUGACUUCAGUCUUGACUCUUAAAUCCCUAUACUUUAUUUGUCGAUACUAUGAGAAAUCACAGGACAAUGCCCUUCAUUCAAGUUUUCAAUUUGGGAAGUGAUCUUGUUGCGCUCUGAGAAUAGUCGACACUUCACGUUUUUGAACCACGAUUUCCAACUUUCUAACUUAUGAUUGCAGCUGAUGAGGUGCUCAUUAUAAAACUUUGACUCGCAAAGAAAUCAAUGCAAUGAUGGACGUAAUUUAUUGCCUGUAAUUUUUACCUCUACUAAUGCAGAACGAUUUAAAUUUUUCUAUAAUGUUUUUACUUAGUUUUGAUUUGUGGACGACCAGAAUAAUUUACAUUUGAACACCAGACAAUUGUUUUACCUAGCAGGAACUUCCGAAUCCUGUUCAUCUUUUUCAACGUACAGCCUAUGAAGAGGUGCUAAAGGAACUGAAAUGAAGUCCAUAGAAUUGGUCCUUUCCAUGUAUGAUAUUGUCGACUUGUAUAUGGUUUUAUGGUUGAUCCUGGCUACACUGAAUGGUGACUAAAUGCAUGUGUGUAAUAAUACUUUCAUGGCAUUAUUUAUUCAUGCCUUUUUUGUGUGUCUAAGUAUGUAUUUUGCCUACUUCAUUAUUUCAGGACGAGGUAUUUUCUCAUCCCCUGGGAAAGGACACAACCCACUGCAAGACCGAGCUUAUUAUCAACUUCUGGAGUGCCUUGGAGUAAGUCUCAUCUUCCUAGAACACCUUCCUCGAACCUUUCCACCGCGACGGAGUCGAGUUCCUCCUCCUCCAUCCCGGCUGGCACCGAGCUUCUCCUACACUGGGACGGUGCCGUCUCCCGUCGAGUUGUCGUCGCCACUGCUUGUCCAGCCGCCUGUCUCGCCAUCAAAAGCACAUCCCCUGCAUGCGUUGUGGGCAGAUGAUCUUGUAUGAAAUUGGAUUGACUUGUGUUGAGGUUGGAUGGGUUUGUGUUGAAUUUGGAUGAUGUUUGUCAAAUUUAAAUGAUGUUUGUUGAAAUUA